UUAAUCCUGAUAUGUUUGUUCAUUUAACGUAUUUUGACCGAACAACAUUUUAAAAGGGAGCUUUACGUUUUUAUAUUGCAUGGAUGCCGUUACAAUACACGGAACCAUAAUAAAUAUAAAAUAGGGCACCCACCUGCUAAAUGCGGGAUCAAAACAUAAAAUGGACGGCAUGAUCGGGAUUAAG
Molecule: non-coding RNA, 184 nt
Organism: Bacilli bacterium VT-13-104
Lineage: Bacteria; Bacillati; Bacillota; Bacilli
Rfam family: 6S / SsrS RNA
About the family: E. coli 6S RNA was the first non coding RNA to be sequenced, but its function was unknown until recently. It consists of 184 nucleotides that fold into an extended hairpin structure with a large single-stranded internal bulge.
Source: Rfam